CGGGGUGCAGCAGGCGCGAAAACUUUACAAUGCGGGAAACCGUGAUAAGGGGACACCGAGUGCCAGCAUCAUAUGCUGGCUGUCCGGGUGUGUAAAAUACACCCGUUAGCAAGGGCCGGGCAAGACCGGUGCCAGCCGCCGCGGUAACACCGGCGGCCCGAGUGGUGGUCGUGAUUAUUGGGUCUAAAGGGUCCGUAGCCGGUUUGGUCAGUCCUCCGGGAAAUCUGACGGCUCAACCGUUAGGCUUUCGGGGGAUACUGCCAGGCUUGGAACCGGGAGAGGUAAGAGGUACUACAGGGGUAGGAGUGAAAUCUUGUAAUCCCUGUGAGACCACCUGUGGCGAAGGCGUCUUACCAGAACGGGUUCGACGGUGAGGGACGAAAGCUGGGGGCACGAACCGGAUUAGAUACCCGGGUAGUCCCAGCCGUAAACGAUGCUCGCUAGGUGUCAGGCAUGGCGCGACCGUGUCUGGUGCCGCAGGGAAGCCGUGAAGCGAGCCACCUGGGAAGUACGGCCGCAAGGCUGAAACUUAAAGGAAUUGGCGGGGGAGCAC
Molecule: ribosomal RNA, 553 nt
Filed under: uncultured archaeon
Lineage: Archaea
Description: bacterial SSU rRNA
Rfam family: Archaeal small subunit ribosomal RNA
Source: RNAcentral